GCUGUAGCACAGUGGGUGGGAGGACAUCUGCCUCACAUGCAGAAGAUCCCAGGUUUAAUCCCCUGUCUGAAACC
Podarcis lilfordi (Lilford's wall lizard) is the source of this 74-nucleotide non-coding RNA. The record is from the annotation of a GenBank genome assembly. NCBI's taxonomy places the organism in Eukaryota, Metazoa, Chordata, Lepidosauria, Squamata, Lacertidae.